GCAGCUAGAGAUAGCUGUGUCCUUCGGGACAAGGAGACAGGUGGUGCAUGGUUGUCGGUUCAGCUCGUGUCGUGAGAUGUUGGGUUAAGUCCCGCAACGAGCGCAACCCCUGUGUUAGUUGCCAGCAAGUAGCGUUGGGCACUCUAGCCAGACUGCCGGUGAUAAAUCGGAGGAAGGUGGGGACGACGUCAAAUCAUCAUGCCCUUUAUGUCCUGGGCUACACACGUACUACAAUGGCCGUUACAACGGGAAGCGAAGGAGCAAUCCGGAGCAAAUCCCUUAAAGGCGGUCCCAGUUCAGAUUGUGGGCUGAAACUCGCCCACAUGAAGGCGGAAUUGCUAGUAAUUGCAGAUCAGCAUGCUGCAGUGAAUACGUUCCCGGGCCUU
This 386-nucleotide ribosomal RNA is filed under the name uncultured Oscillospiraceae bacterium. RNAcentral's name for it is "bacterial SSU rRNA". It matches the Rfam family "Bacterial small subunit ribosomal RNA", at positions 996 to 1382 of the family's 1533-position model. The record is from RNAcentral. Lineage: Bacteria; Bacillati; Bacillota; Clostridia; Eubacteriales; Oscillospiraceae.